UUUGUGGAGCUGGAAUUCAUCGGAAGUUCUACAGUGCUUGCGCCAGAGAAACGUCGGUGCCUCUGUACCUGUUAGACGAAGGAGCGUUUGCCAAGUCUUGAAAGGUAGACAUCAGUGACGGUGUAUACGUUGAAAAGGGCAUGCUGAAGAGGCUGUGCCUGGAUGCUAACAACUCAGGAUUUCACUUCGCGGAGGGCCUCCUUAAAGCUCCUUUUUCAAUAGAAGACGUUGAAGGGAGGUCCUUCUUUGGGUGGCUGUCAAAUGCCUUCCUCAGAAGGAUCCGUUGGAUUCCAAGAAGGUCAACACCAUAGUAGACUACACAACGCAACAUUUCAGCCUACUUCCAGGGCAGCUGGAGAACUCGUCCUCCUUACUAGCCCGGGGAUAUUAAAUGGAUGUGUUCAAGCACAAA
Molecule: long non-coding RNA, 412 nt
Filed under: Dermacentor andersoni
Lineage: Eukaryota; Metazoa; Arthropoda; Arachnida; Ixodida; Ixodidae
Description: uncharacterized LOC126543022
Source: RNAcentral